RNAcentral lists this ribosomal RNA (248 nucleotides) under uncultured bacterium. Its description in RNAcentral is "partial 16S ribosomal RNA". It matches the Rfam family "Bacterial small subunit ribosomal RNA", at positions 105 to 339 of the family's 1533-position model. The record is from RNAcentral.
GGUGAGUAACGCGUAGGUAAUCUGCCUUACUGCGGGGGAUAACCAGAAGAAAUUCUGGCUAAUACCGCAUACGUAGUGUGAAAUGGGAAAAGCACUAGAAAGAAUGCCUCUGCUUGCAAGCAUUUACAGUAAGAUGAGCCUGCGUUGCAUUAGCUUGUUGGUGGGGUAAUGGCCUACCAAGGCAACGAUGCAUAGCUGGUCUGAGAGGAUGAUCAGUCACACUGGAACUGAGACACGGUCCAGACUCC